Molecule: non-coding RNA, 73 nt
Organism: Eubalaena glacialis (North Atlantic right whale)
Lineage: Eukaryota; Metazoa; Chordata; Mammalia; Artiodactyla; Balaenidae
Source: the annotation of a RefSeq genome assembly
UCCCUGGUGGUCCAGUGGGUGGGACUCCGCGCUCGCAUCGCGGGGGGCCCGGGUUCAACCCCUGGUUAGGGAA